AUUGAACGCUGGCGGCAUGCUUUACACAUGCAAGUCGAACGGUAACAGGUUAAGCUGACGAGUGGCGAACGGGUGAGUAAUGCAUCGGAACGUGCCCGAUCGUGGGGGAUAACGCAGCGAAAGCUGAGCUAAUACCGCAUACGAUCUGAGGAUGAAAGCUGGGGACCGUAAGGCCUCGCGCGAUCGUAGCGGCCGAUGUCAGAUUAGGUAGUUGGUGGGGUAAAGGCCCACCAAGCCGACGAUAUGGAGCUGGUCUGAGAGGACUACCAGCCACACUGGGACUGGGAAACGGCCCAGACUCCUACGGGAGGGAGCAGUGGGGAAUUUUGGACAAUGGGCGAAAGCCUGAUCCAGCAAUGCAGCGUGCAGGAAGAAGGCCUUCGGGUUGUAAACUGCUUUUGUACGGAGCGAAAAGGUCCUUGCUAAUACAAGGGGCUCAUGACGGUACCGUAAGAAUAAGAACCGGCUAACUACGUGCCAGCCGCCGCCGUAA
Molecule: ribosomal RNA, 493 nt
Filed under: uncultured bacterium
Lineage: Bacteria
Description: partial 16S ribosomal RNA
Rfam family: Bacterial small subunit ribosomal RNA
Source: RNAcentral